Molecule: long non-coding RNA, 387 nt
Filed under: Mytilus galloprovincialis (Mediterranean mussel)
Lineage: Eukaryota; Metazoa; Mollusca; Bivalvia; Mytilida; Mytilidae
Source: RNAcentral
UGUAUUCAAAAUUUCCAAAAUAGGUAUUAUGUAGCUCCUUUUUGGCUCAAAUGAGUAUAUAUAUUUUACUCAUAAUAUAUAGUACAUGUUUAAGAUGGCUAACAUAAUUAAUGUUGCCUGCGGUGAUGAUAUAAGUUAUGUUUUGGACAGAUACAGACAUCAUGCCAUUGUUAAUGUACGGGUAGGCGCUCAUAGGUAAGAUCUUAUGCAGGUUGCGGUUAGCGGUAUACUACUGUUGCCUUUAUUUGGAUAAAAUUUGAACAAUAUCAUUUAAUGCAAUUGACGUUUGGUUUUUAUACGAAAGACUAUUUAUAAAGCACAAGAUUAGGGAUUAACAUUGUUCUUCGAAUGAAUGUGUGAAAAUUAUAAAAAAAAUAUUAAUCGAAA